Molecule: ribosomal RNA, 253 nt
Filed under: uncultured bacterium
Lineage: Bacteria
Description: partial 16S ribosomal RNA
Rfam family: Bacterial small subunit ribosomal RNA
Source: RNAcentral
UACGAAGGGGGCUAGCGUUGUUCGGAUUUACUGGGCGUAAAGCGCACGUAGGCGGAUCGUUAAGUCAGGGGUGAAAUCCUGGAGCUCAACUCCAGAACUGCCUUUGAUACUGAGGAUCUUGAGUUCGGGAGAGGUGAGUGGAACUGCGAGUGUAGAGGUGAAAUUCGUAGAUAUUCGCAAGAACACCAGUGGCGAAGGCGACUUACUGGACUGUAACUGACGCUGAGGCAUGAAAGCGUGGGGAGCAAACAGG